GCCCUUCUACGAGUCUCUGGUUGAGAGAUUACGAAAGGCUUACAGCCCUGAUGCCAUUAAAGGUAAAACCUUUUUGAUUCUUUGGUUGUCUUGCUUAGCUUGGAUGUACCAUUUCAUAAUUCAGAUCAAUGAAAAGCAUGAAAGUAGAUUCGAGAUCCGGUAAACGUACAUCUCGGUGUCAUCAAGAAAACAGUUAGUGUUAGCAGUUGUCAAUGUUAAUGACCUCUGCCUCAGAAUGCCAAAUUUGUAUGUCUCCGAGUCUCCAAUGUUACACCGUGGAAAUGACUCGUGGUCGUUGCUCUGGGUUUUCUAUGACUUUCUUUGGGACUAUUGUGGUGCCAUCAGAGCUC
Molecule: long non-coding RNA, 350 nt
Organism: Rhodamnia argentea
Lineage: Eukaryota; Viridiplantae; Streptophyta; Magnoliopsida; Myrtales; Myrtaceae
Exons: 3
Source: RefSeq, a predicted model, not a curated record